This 86-nucleotide transfer RNA is filed under the name Candidatus Coatesiibacteriota bacterium. Its description in RNAcentral is "Candidatus Coatesbacteria bacterium tRNA-Leu". It matches the Rfam family "tRNA". From Rfam's summary of the family: Transfer RNA (tRNA) molecules are approximately 80 nucleotides in length. Their secondary structure includes four short double-helical elements and three loops (D, anti-codon, and T loops). Lineage: Bacteria; Candidatus Coatesiibacteriota. The record is from RNAcentral.
GCCGGGGUGGUGAAAUUGGUAGACGCAGGGGACUCAAAAUCCCCCGGAACUCGCGUUCCGUGCGGGUUCGAUUCCCGCCCCCGGCA